Molecule: ribosomal RNA, 371 nt
Filed under: uncultured organism
Description: bacterial SSU rRNA
Rfam family: Bacterial small subunit ribosomal RNA
Source: RNAcentral
CAGAGGGUGCGAGCGUUAAUCGGAAUUACUGGGCGUAAAGCGCGCGUAGGCGGCUUUUCAAGUCGAUUGUGAAAUCCCCGGGCUCAACCUGGGAACUGCAGUCGAGACUGUCUAGCUAGAGUAUGGGAGAGGGAAGUGGAAUUUCAGGUGUAGCGGUGAAAUGCGUAGAUAUCUGAAGGGACAUCAGUGGCGAAAGCGACUUCCUGGACCAAUACUGACGCUCAUGUGCGAAAGCGUGGGGAGCAAACAGGAUUAGAUACCCUGGUAGUCCACGCCAUAAACGAUGAGAACUGGAUGUCGGGAGGGUCUGCCUCUCGGUGUCGUAGCUAACGCGUUAAGUUCUCCGCCUGGGGAGUACGGCCGCAAGGUUG